This 99-nucleotide transfer RNA is filed under the name Oerskovia paurometabola. Its description in RNAcentral is "tRNA-OTHER". The record is from RNAcentral. RNAcentral also lists the same sequence under 2 other names. Lineage: Bacteria; Bacillati; Actinomycetota; Actinomycetes; Micrococcales; Cellulomonadaceae.
GGACUGCAGUCGGGCGGCACCCCUGGAGAGGCAUGUGCCAAGGACGGCGACGGGGCGCACCAGCGCCCCGUGGGGCGGGUUCGAUUCCCGCCCUCUCCG